Molecule: long non-coding RNA, 483 nt
Organism: Humulus lupulus (European hop)
Lineage: Eukaryota; Viridiplantae; Streptophyta; Magnoliopsida; Rosales; Cannabaceae
Exons: 3
Source: RefSeq, a predicted model, not a curated record
CCUAGUGGGAAAGGAAUGAUUUCUUUUAAGUAAUAAAAAUCAAAAAUUGAAGACAAUAGUUAUUUUGGGGAUAGGCAUGAUCAUUUUUAUUCCUUUAUAUCUAUUUAAAUAAAGAGAAAUUAAGAGAAAAUAAAUGGAAAAAGGAAACUUACCUUAUUGUGUUGGGGAGGCUUUAUGAGAGGAUUAUGAUAAAGGGGAAAUGAAAGAGGAGAAGAGCCAUUUGCUCUUGUGUGGCUGCCGUGACCUAGAGAGAGAGAGAGAGAGUGGCGUGUAGAGAGAGAGAGAGAGAGAGAGAGAGGAAGAAAGAAAGAAGGAAGGAGAAGGUGAAGAGGAACCCCUCUUAGAGCUUGAACAAGGGUGUGGAGUUUGGGUAUUGAUCUUAUUGUGUUCUUGAUUUUACAAUCAAGAGAGGCUCGUUGAAAGAUUGUGAAAUUCUUAGCUUGGACCUGAGGUAAGGAAGUUAGAUAGAUUCUAUGAUUUUAU